Molecule: ribosomal RNA, 989 nt
Filed under: human gut metagenome
Description: bacterial LSU rRNA
Rfam family: Bacterial large subunit ribosomal RNA
Source: RNAcentral
AACUAUAACGGUCCUAAGGUAGCGAAAUUCCUUGUCGGGUAAGUUCCGACCCGCACGAAAGGCGUAAUGAUUUGGGCACUGUCUCAACAAUGCACCCGGUGAAAUUGAAAUACCAGUGAAGAUGCUGGUUACCUGCGCCAGGACGGAAAGACCCCAUGGAGCUUUACUCCAGCUUGAUACUGGGAUUCGAUAUUGCAUGUACAGGAUAGGUGGGAGACUGAGAACUGAUGACGCCAGUUGUCAGGGAGUCACUGUUGGGAUACCACCCUUGUAGUAUUGGAUUUCUAACCAGCAGCCGUGAACCGGCUGGGGGACAAUGUCAGGUGGGGAGUUUGACUGGGGCGGUCGCCUCCGAAAGGGUAUCGGAGGCGCUCAAAGGUUCCCUCAGAAUGGUUGGAAACCAUUCGAAGAGUGCAAAGGCAGAAGGGAGCUUGACUGCGACACCGACGGGUGGAGCAGGUACGAAAGUAGGACUUAGUGAUCCGGUGGUAUAAAGUGGGAUUGCCAUCGCUCAACGGAUAAAAGCUACCCUGGGGAUAACAGGCUUAUCACUCCCAAGAGUUCACAUCGACGGAGUGGUUUGGCACCUCGAUGUCGGCUCAUCGCAUCCUGGGGCUGAAGUAGGUCCCAAGGGUUGGGCUGUUCGCCCAUUAAAGCGGUACGCGAGCUGGGUUCAGAACGUCGUGAGACAGUUCGGUCCCUAUCCGGCGUGGGCGUAGGAUAUUUGAGAGGAGCUGCCCUUAGUACGAGAGGACCGGGGUGGACUGGCCGCUGGUGGAUCUGUUGUAUUACCAAAUGCAUAGCAGAGUAGCCAAGCCGGGACGGGAUAAACGCUGAAGGCAUCUAAGCGUGAAGCCCCCCUCAAGAUGAGAUAUCCCAUAACGUCAAGUUAGUAAGACCCCUUGAAGACGACGAGGUAGAUAGGGCAGAGGUGGAAGUGCGGUAACGCAUGGAGCUGACUGUUACUAAUAGGUCGAGGGCAUAACCAA